UACGAAGGGGGCGAGCGUUGUUCGGAUUUACUGGGCGUAAAGGGCGCGCAGGCGGCUUAUUUUGUCAGGCGUGAAAGCCCCGGGCUUAACCUGGGAACUGCGUUUGAUACGGAUGGGCUAGAGUUCGGGAGAGGAGAGUGGAAUUCCCAGUGUAGAGGUGAAAUUCGUAGAUAUUGGGAAGAACACCGGUGGCGAAGGCGGCUCUCUGGACCGAUACUGACGCUGAGGCGCGAAAGCUAGUGGAGCAAACGGG
Molecule: ribosomal RNA, 253 nt
Filed under: uncultured bacterium
Lineage: Bacteria
Description: partial 16S ribosomal RNA
Rfam family: Bacterial small subunit ribosomal RNA
Source: RNAcentral